GGUUAAGUUAGAAAGGGCGCACGGUGGAUGCCUUGGCACUAGGAGCCGAUGAAGGACGGGACGAACACCGAUAUGCUUCGGGGAGCUGUAAGCAAGCUUUGAUCCGGAGAUUUCCAAAUGGGGAAACCCACCACUCGUAAUGGAGUGGUAUCCAUAUCUGAAUACAUAGGAUAUGAGAAGGCAGACCCGGGGAACUGAAACAUCUAAGUACCCGGAGGAAGAGAAAGCAAAUGCGAUUCCCUGAGUAGCGGCGAGCGAAACGGGAUCAGCCCAAACCAAGAGGCUUGCCUCUUGGGGUUGUAGGACACUCUGUACGGAGUUACAAAGGAACGAGGUAGAUGAAGAGGUCUGGAAAGGCCCGCCAUAGGAGGUAACAGCCCUGUAGUCAAAACUUCGUUCUCUCCUGAGUGGAUCCUGAGUACGGCGGAACACGUGAAAUUCCGUCGGAAUCCGGGAGGACCAUCUCCCAAGGCUAAAUACUCCCUAGUGACCGAUAGUGAACCAGUACCGUGAGGGAAAGGUGAAAAGCACCCCGGAAGGGGAGUGAAAGAGAUCCUGAAACCGUGUGCCUACAAGUAGUCAGAGCCCGUUAACGGGUGAUGGCGUGCCUUUUGUAGAAUGAACCGGCGAGUUACGAUCCCGUGCAAGGUUAAGCAGAAGAUGCGGAGCCGCAGCGAAAGCGAGUCUGAAUAGGGCGAAUUGAGUACGUGGUCGUAGACCCGAAACCAGGUGAUCUACCCAUGUCCAGGGUGAAGUUCAGGUAACACUGAAUGGAGGCCCGAACCCACGCACGUUGAAAAGUGCGGGGAUGAGGUGUGGGUAGGGGUGAAAUGCCAAUCGAACCUGGAGAUAGCUGGUUCUCUCCGAAAUAGCUUUAGGGCUAGCCUCAAGGUAAGAGUCUCGGAGGUAGAGCACUGAUUGGACUAGGGGCCCCUACCGGGUUACCGAAUUCAGUCAAACUCCGAAUGCCGAUGACUUAUCCUUGGGAGUCAGACUGCGAGUGAUAAGAUCCGUAGUCGAAAGGAAACAGCCCAGACCGCCAGCUAAGGUCCCAAAGUAUACGUUAAGUGGAAAAGGAUGUGGAGUUGCUUAGACAACCAGGAUGUUGGCUUAGAAGCAGCCACCAUUUAAAGAGUGCGUAAUAGCUCACUGGUCGAGUGACUCUGCGCCGAAAAUGUACCGGGCUAAACGUAUCACCGAAGCUGCGGACUGUUCUUCGAACAGUGGUAGGAGAGCGUUCUAAGGGCUGUGAAGCAAGACCGGAAGGACUUGUGGAGCGCUUAGAAGUGAGAAUGCCGGUAUGAGUAGCGAAAGAGGGGUGAGAAUCCCCUCCACCGAAUGCCUAAGGUUUCCUGAGGAAGGCUCGUCCGCUCAGGGUUAGUCGGGACCUAAGCCGAGGCCGAAAGGCGUAGGCGAUGGAUAACAGGUUGAUAUUCCUGUACCACCUCCUCACCAUUUGAGCAAUGGGGACGCAGGAGGAUAGGGUAAGCGCGGUAUUGGAUAUCCGCGUCCAAGCAGUUAGGCUGGGAAAUAGGCAAAUCCGUUUCCCGUGAAGGCUGAGCUGUGAUGGCGAGCGAAUUAUAGUAGCGAAGUUCCUGAUUCCACACUGCCAAGAAAAGCCUCUAGCGAGGUGAGAGGUGCCCGUACCGCAAACCGACACAGGUAGGCGAGGAGAGAAUCCUAAGGUGAUCGAGAGAACUCUCGUUAAGGAACUCGGCAAAAUGACCCCGUAACUUCGGGAGAAGGGGUGCUCUGUUAGGGUGCAAGCCCGAGAGAGCCGCAGUGAAUAGGCCCAGGCGACUGUUUAGCAAAAACACAGGUCUCUGCGAAGCCGUAAGGCGAAGUAUAGGGGCUGACGCCUGCCCGGUGCUGGAAGGUUAAGAGGAGCGCUUAGCGUAAGCGAAGGUGCGAAUUGAAGCCCCAGUAAACGGCGGCCGUAACUAUAACGGUCCUAAGGUAGCGAAAUUCCUUGUCGGGUAAGUUCCGACCCGCACGAAAGGCGCAACGAUCUGGGCACUGUCUCAACGAGAGACUCGGUGAAAUUAUAGUACCUGUGAAGAUGCAGGUUACCCGCGACAGGACGGAAAGACCCGUGGAGCUUUACUGCAGCCUGAUAUUGAAUGUUGGUACAGCUUGUACAGGAUAGGUAGGAGCCUUGGAAACCGGAGCGCCAGCUUCGGUGGAGGCAUCGGUGGGAUACUACCCUGGCUGUAUUGACCUUCUAACCCGCCGCCCUUAUCGGGCGGGGAGACAGUGUCAGGUGGGCAGUUUGACUGGGGCGGUCGCCUCCUAAAAGGUAACGGAGGCGCCCAAAGGUUCCCUCAGAAUGGUUGGAAAUCAUUCGCAGAGUGUAAAGGCACAAGGGAGCUUGACUGCGAGACCUACAAGUCGAGCAGGGACGAAAGUCGGGCUUAGUGAUCCGGUGGUUCCGCAUGGAAGGGCCAUCGCUCAACGGAUAAAAGCUACCCCGGGGAUAACAGGCUUAUCUCCCCCAAGAGUCCACAUCGACGGGGAGGUUUGGCACCUCGAUGUCGGCUCAUCGCAUCCUGGGGCUGUAGUCGGUCCCAAGGGUUGGGCUGUUCGCCCAUUAAAGCGGUACGCGAGCUGGGUUCAGAACGUCGUGAGACAGUUCGGUCCCUAUCCGUCGCGGGCGCAGGAAAUUUGAGAGGAGCUGUCCUUAGUACGAGAGGACCGGGAUGGACGCACCGCUGGUGUACCAGUUGUUCUGCCAAGGGCAUCGCUGGGUAGCUAUGUGCGGACGGGAUAAGUGCUGAAAGCAUCUAAGCAUGAAGCCCCCCUCAAGAUGAGAUUUCCCAUUCCGCAAGGAAGUAAGAUCCCUGAAAGAUGAUCAGGUUGAUAGGUCUGAGGUGGAAGUGUGGCGACACAUGGAGCUGACAGAUACUAAUCGAUCGAGGACUUAACCAA
This 2925-nucleotide ribosomal RNA is filed under the name Bacillus amyloliquefaciens. Its description in RNAcentral is "23S ribosomal RNA". It matches the Rfam family "Bacterial large subunit ribosomal RNA". The record is from RNAcentral. Lineage: Bacteria; Bacillati; Bacillota; Bacilli; Caryophanales; Bacillaceae.